AUAUGCCUCUAUGUUGUACCUUUUCCACUACCUUCCACUGUGAACCCAACAAAAGAUCAUCCAUAUAAAAUACUUGUUGUGCUUGGAUGCCAAGUAUAUAGGAAUCAUCCAUGUACCAUUUACCAUUCACAUUGAUAGAAGUAAGAUGGUAAUCUAUGAUUGUUCUUUUUUGCUUUGGAUUAUUAUCGUACCAAUUACACUGGAACAAAGUGACGCGGUAGUCAAAAACGUUUACCAACUCAAUAACACCACACAGUAUACCAAAAAAGUUGAUGUUAUCAUCUCCAGGCACCAUUACUCCACUAUUUUGUGUUGUAUGGCAAUUAUCUCGAUCUUUAACAAGGAAUCUUACCC
RNAcentral lists this long non-coding RNA (354 nucleotides) under Olea europaea subsp. europaea. The record is from RNAcentral. Lineage: Eukaryota; Viridiplantae; Streptophyta; Magnoliopsida; Lamiales; Oleaceae.